UCAUGAAGUCGGAAUUGCUAGUAAUGGCAGGUCAGCAUACUGCCGUGAAUACGUUCCCGGGCCUUGUACACACCGCCCGUCACACCAUGAGAGUUGGGAAUACCCGAAGCCUGUGAGCCAACAAACGAGGCAGCAGUCGAAGGUAGAAUCAAUGAUUGGGGUGAAGUCGUAACAAGGUAGC
RNAcentral lists this ribosomal RNA (181 nucleotides) under uncultured bacterium. RNAcentral's name for it is "partial 16S ribosomal RNA". It matches the Rfam family "Bacterial small subunit ribosomal RNA", at positions 1318 to 1500 of the family's 1533-position model. The record is from RNAcentral.